UUUUCCUACGGGACGCAGCAGUAGGGAAUCUUCGGCAAUGGACGAGAGUCUGACCGAGCAACGCCGCGUGAGUGAAGAAGGUUUUCGGAUCGUAAAACUCUGUUGGUAGAGAAGAACGUUGGUGAGAGUGGAAAGCUCAUCAAGUGACGGUAACUACCCAGAAAGGGACGGCUAACUACGUGCCAGCAGCCGCGGUAAUACGUAGGUCCCGAGCGUUGUCCGGAUUUAUUGGGCGUAAAGCGAGCGCAGGUGGUUUAUUACGUCUGGUGUAACAGGCAGUGGCUCAACCAUUGUAUG
This 297-nucleotide ribosomal RNA is filed under the name uncultured bacterium. Its description in RNAcentral is "partial 16S ribosomal RNA". It matches the Rfam family "Bacterial small subunit ribosomal RNA", at positions 334 to 622 of the family's 1533-position model. The record is from RNAcentral.